This 253-nucleotide ribosomal RNA is filed under the name uncultured bacterium. RNAcentral describes it as "partial 16S ribosomal RNA". It matches the Rfam family "Bacterial small subunit ribosomal RNA", at positions 524 to 776 of the family's 1533-position model. The record is from RNAcentral.
UACAGAGGGUGCGAGCGUUAAUCGGAAUUACUGGGCGUAAAGCGUGCGUAGACGGUUCUGUAAGUCGGGUGUGAAAUCCCCGGGCUCAACCUGGGAAUUGCAUUCGAAACUGCGAGGCUAGGGUACGGAAGAGGGAAGCGGAAUUUCUGGUGUAGCGGUGAAAUGCGUAGAUAUCAGAAGGAACAUCAGUGGCGAAAGCGGCUUCCUGGUCCAGUACCGACGUUCAGGCACGAAAGCGUGGGGAGCAAACAGG